RNAcentral lists this long non-coding RNA (8714 nucleotides) under Xyrichtys novacula (pearly razorfish). Lineage: Eukaryota; Metazoa; Chordata; Actinopteri; Labriformes; Labridae. The record is from RNAcentral.
CCCCAUCAUCCCAUUUCAUCUCUUUUUCUUCAGUUUCCCUCCUGAAGAGUAGCUACUGAAUUUAGAGCUAGGGAAAAAAAGAAGUAAUACACAGGACUUAUGGAUUCAGACAGCAAGUCAAAAUAGUUUAUUAGAGAACAGGAUUCAUAGUAGAGGCACUACCUCACAUUUAGUAUAGGCACUGAACAACUGCACUGGAGUCACAGCCACAACUUGGACUGGAAACCAAAGCCUGCCAGCAACAUUUGACGACAGCUACAGCUGCAAGUUUAAUAUUUCAUGACAAAAAAAACAUCCUAUAAAUACUGAAAUAAUUCAUCUGAUUGGGAUUCAGUUCAAACAGCAAUUGGUAUAAUCUGACUGAGUGUAAAAAACAAUUUUAGACUCUGUUUUAAUCUCUUUAAAGGUGGUUAACAAAAUUAUCACUGAUGGAUCCUCAGAUGACUUUCUAGCAGGGAUGCAACAAUCUCAUAAUCUCUCCCUACAAUAAUAUCAAGUCCAUGAUACCAUAGCUAUCAGAAAAUCUAAGACAACUGAAGACUUAGAAAAAAAAUUAGGAAUGAUGACUGAGACCUGUUAACAUCAAAAAACUGGCUCUAUCAAAACCUGAAAAUCAACAUUUAAACAUGAUGUGACUUCAUUAUGCUUGCCAAAUUAAGUCUUUGAAUUGGUAGCUAACAGGUAAAAAACUACAUAAAGAAGAAUUCUAGUGGUCAGUUGCUUGCAGAUCACUGAAUAUGCAAAAAAGGCCUAAAGUGUGGCUACAUUUGACCAAAGCUAAAGAUAGAGAAGAAGCAAAAGGCAGUUUAUACUGCAAAAUAUUUCUUGCAAAGUGGGGAACACAGCCUUCAUGAGUAAACACAUCAGCACUGCACAUCAAAUCAGGCAAAAAUGCAAAACCUCUGUCUGCCUGCAAUUUGAUAGUCUCCACACACCAAGCGAGUGUAAAAACAUUCACGCAAAUGAAUUACAUGUUAAGUAAAUGCAGAGAUGCAAUUAGACGCUCCUGAGACUCUGGGAUUUGGGCGGGAGCUUGAAAUGACUCAACUUAAGCUGAUGUUUGCGUCGCGCUAACCAAUGAGCACGAAGGUUGCCAGGUGACGUAUGAAAACAGAUGGUUGUUCACUGGUAUCUAAAAUGGGGGACAAACUGAUCAUGUCAGUGUGUGGGUUCCCCGAAUUAUAUGAUACAUUUUCUUUCAAUUACCGAAACCGAAAAAAAAGGAGCUAGUCUGGAGGCAAGUGAGUGAGGAGGUCGGAAUACCUGAUAGAUUGUAACCUUUGUCUAUUACUUGAUCCCUCUGGUUGAAUUUGCAGGGAUUCCUUUUGAAAUUACCAUUGACGCACAAAUGACAUGAGUAAAUACUAUUCAUUCACCCGUCUAGAUUCGCAUGAAUUAAGCAAGUAGAUGAUAUUACUUGUACUUGGUGUGAGCGCCCCAUGAGACAACUCUGUCAACUCCUGUUACUGGGAUGCUGCUAUCCUCCUCUUUAAGUUCUAAUAGUUCAAAAUCAUAAUCUAGAGUUGAAAUCACCUCAGUCAGUUAGCUAGCUGACCAAGGUGUUAGACUGUUAGACUCACUUUGUGAGACCUUCAAGUACGGGUCAGUGACACAAGAUUAAAGUGAAAAUACAUUAUUCAUUAUCAUGGUAAACUUUUGAAGGCUCAUGUGUUUCUUGAUAUGAGAUUUAAUAUUGUGAAACCGGUGAGAUUCAGUCGCCGUCAUGAUCACCGAAGAUGUUCACGAUUUUUGGGUUUUUAAAUGUGGAAUCAGAUUCUGACGGAACAGGGUUUCUAUCAUCAUCCCUACUCACAUGUUUUUGUUCAUUACCUUUUCCCCUAUCUCAUUUUUGACAGCACCUUGGAUUUAAAAGCUUCUGGUGCUCAACAGUUUUAAAAUCUACACAGCACAAUGUAGCUAAUGACAAAGUCUGUUAUUUUUGCUGUACCACAUCUGGGGCAUACAUGGACUGAUGGUCUCAGUAGUUCCCUAAUUCCUUCACCCUGAUCCACCAUGGCUGAAACAAAACUGCUUCAUACUGUCAGACUGUUACAGAUCAACAAUGCUAUCAUGGUGCUCAACGUCCUUGGGCAAUAUUGUGAUUUUGACGAUAUUGUUACAUCCCUACUAUCUAGUAGUAAUAAACCUCUUAUCAUAUUGGAAACCCAUUGACUGAGUCACUGGCAGGCUUCAGUUAGGGGGCGCAUGUACAUCCCCCGGCUCAUGAACUCGCUGUUUCCUUGUCGUGAACUUUGCUUUCAUCAUUACAACCAUCAGUUAAAGAACACACAGCAGGUUCACAAUAAUGUGUUACAAAAACAACCACAAAAUAUUGUAUGAUUACUUUUAUUAUCAUAAUCAAAUUAUAAUAAAAAAGUGAUGACAGUAUAUUCCCUCUGGUUCACUUCUGUAAUAUAUAUAUAUAUAUAUAUAUGUGUGUUAAUAUAAAAACAGUGUUAAUCCUAAAAUCCGGUUAAAAUGUUGGUAUAACUUUGUUCAACUGUGCCACAGAUGCAGCACCUCACAUUAACUAGAACACCAACUCAACAUGUUCCUGCGUCUUCUUAUUUAUGCUGAGCCAUCUCUAAUUGAUCAUACUACUCCAGAUCUGACCAAAACUCUGAGUGUAGUGGUGCCUGUUUUUGUUGUGCACCGCUUGGUGCAGCAGUCUGAGAGGCAACACAAGGGAGAGAGAAAGCAUGUAAACCCUCUUAUGGUAGAAAUAUCCUGUGGUGUUACAGUCACAUGGUUAGUUCAGAAAAAAAGAAGUAGAUCACUGUUAAAUGGUACACAGAGAGACUCUGUGGAUCUCAUUGCAUGUUGCUCAGCACCACUUAAAAUAUGUUCUUGUGACUCUAAAACUAAGGUACGCACCAAAAAUAUUACAUUUUUUUCUUUCUUUUACAGCUAGGCAUUUGAGUCUCACGCCUGGUUCACACAGGAAGCGUCAGCCGUGCACCAAGUUUCGGAUCGGCGCCCGUGUUAACCUAAGGCGGAGCACGCCCUGUGUGAUUGUAAAGCUGGGCCAACUGUAAAGCUGGACAGAGCAGAUCGGGCCAGACAGGAAGUCUGGAACAGGAGAUGCGAGAGAAUCUGGUCAAUUUUCAAAAUAAAAUAAAUUUCAAUAAAUCAGAAAAAAAAAGGAUUUACGGUGUUGCUUGUUGGUCUAUUUUUUCCCGAUGAACACGCAUGCACGCACACACACACACACACACACACACACACACACACACACACACACACACACACAAACACACAUACACGGAGGGAGAGCUGCAGAGAUUAAGUGAUGUUAUUGAAACAAAGGAGGGGGACUUUAUUACGAUAGAGUCAAUAGCCUCGAGCUAACAAGGCUACACGUACAAUGGAGUCAACAGACUCCCCAAUUCAUUCGUUGUUUACCCUAAUAUAAUAAUUUAAAACAAUACUUGAAGAUGCUGCCAAUAUUUAAUUUAUGUAUAGCGUAAUAAAAACAUAAAUAGAUAUUGAUUUACCCAUGUUUAAAGUGCUCGUAAGUGUGGAACUGAGGGCAGACGGAAACAGCAGAGCACUGCCGGGCUCAGUCGAUGUCUGACAGGCACGUCAGAGCGCAGCAGAAAACGCUUUAUGUGUGAACAGCCAAGCGCGCGCAGCAUCGGCAUCCUGUGUGAACCAGGCAUCAGGCCACAGUCCCCAGCUUGCUUCGGUUUUUGUUUGGACAUUGCCCUAUUUGAAGUAACUCCAGCUGCUAAACAAAUGUUGUCCGUGUAAGUAAUUAGAUUUCAUUCUGAUGAAUAAAUCAGUAAACAAAGCUUAAGCUGAGUCCUGACAGCAUGAUACACAACAGAGUUUCCAGCUGGAGCAUCCCUCUUGUUUAUAGACUGUGUGGCACUGUGAAGCAGUGGAAUGCUAACAUACUUCAUCAAGCAAUGGUUAACUGGAACAUUUUUUGUCGAUAUGAAGUGCAAUCAAAGGCAGCUAAAAUAUUUUUGAUUUUACAAGCUUCAAACUCAUUUUUUGUGCACAACUGACAACGUCACAGUUUUUAACGACAUAACAGAGGUCUAUGCUAGAUGUUGGCCCCUCGUACUGAUGCAAUUUCUCACUCUAGAGCUAGUUAUUUUUCCUCUCUUUCGCUACAGAAUUUUUGUUUGGCUAAGUUACUCACCUCAAGGCUCUGGCUCUGCAGUUAAGUCUUUUAAGCCAUUUACUGUAAACUUCUAAAUGCCCUAUACUGGAAUUUACCAAUGGUAUAUUGGUUUUUAAGUGGUCAAUUUAGUAUUUUAUUGUAUUUUCCUCAAACCUCAGUCCAUUUGAGAGGUGUACCUUCCUUGUUGCAUACGUAGCGUUGAAAAACUGACAGUCAGACUUACAUAUAGGGAUGCAAAAUAUUGGAAUCUUGCUGAUAUUUGAGAAGCUGCUAUUUUUCAGAUUCAUUCAGGCCAAUUACCAGACUUUUUUUUUUUCAAUGUAAAGGACACAAAGUUUCUUCUGUGAUAGAAUUUUCUUUAAUUGAAAUUAUAAAAGUCUUUUGGUUUUAAUAAAAUUUGAUUCUAUCAGAAAUUAUAUCUAAAUAUAUAUAUUUUAAUUUAAAUAUUUAGUAAUGCUAAGCUGCCUGUUACUAACAUUUUAAAAUACUUCUACACAGCCAAUAGAUCUAAGCCGUCAUCACAUGCACAAAAAUAACACACCAUUUUUUACACCAAUUUCCAAUUUUUAUAUUUGCUGAUACUGACAGUUAACUUUUUAGCGAUUAUCUUCCUAUGCUGUUACAAUAGUGAUAAUAUUGUGCUUUCCCUCCAACUAAAAUAAAAGUACAUGAAGUUUUGAGACUUUGCAUUAGCCAUGAUUUAUAUUUAAAACUAGGUUAAAGUGGUCAAAUCCUUCAUCCCAAGUUUAGAGUUUAUAGUUCCUGAAGCAAGCAGCCCAUAUUUAAACAAUCCCACAGCCCUGUGCUGCAUGCUCUUCCCGGUUUUCUACUCUACCAACUGUCCUUUUCUCUGGAUCAAGGCAUUAAAGCCCCCUCAAAAUAAAUUUGCUGAGCUCCACUCUAUCAUUCCAGGAACCUAAGAUAGACUCCUUUCUACCUGGUGAGUGCACAUGCCUUUCAAGCACCAUUACCCCAGUUUUAACACAAGCUUUAUAAUUAUCAUUUUAUUUCUCAUCCUCAGUACGAAUGAGCCUGAGAACAUUAUCAGAGAUGUUUACUGGGAGCAGUAAGCAGCAUCCUUAGCCUUUGGAGGAGAGCAUUUGCACAGUAAUUAAACACAUGAGAAGAAAACCAAUUAUAUGUAAAACAGGUGGACUGCCUCAAUAAAUAAUAAUUUUUCAACGGCAAAGCUUUCACUGAUUUUAAGCGCCAUCUUCUGGGAAUAAAAAAGACCUCUUCUUUUAACUGUUUGCACUGUUGUGUCAGACAAAGCACACUUUCAAAACCUUUUUUCAUUCAAAAAGUGCAGAACUGGUCUGAAAUCUGUGCAUAACUAAGUUUAUCUGCCUGAAAGGGAGUGUGCAUGUUUUACAAAUAAAAACCCCAUAAUUAUAGGUACACCUUACACCUCCCCACACACCAUCUGUGUGAAUUGAGUCCUCUUCUUUUUGAGCUGACUUUACGACUCAUGCAAUCACCUUCAGUAUGUUUCAUAAUGUUCAGUCAACCUCCUAAAUUUAAUUUUCCUACAUCUAGCACAUGGCAAUAGUGAUCCACAGAGCAGUGUACCAGGUCUGUGCCACGUUAGUCAUGGCAGAGAAACUGCUCAGUACAGCUGGCAAGACAGAAAAUAGAAGAAGAAUUCAAGGGUUGUGUUUCUCCAAAACAGCUGAUUCUGGAAGAAUUAAAAAAUACAAGUCUGUGUUGAAAUAUACUUUAUAUAUUUACUUCUUUUACUGGUGGCCAUUUGACAAAAAAAAACAAAAAAACCCACAAGUCCAUAAACCACUCAACAGAUUCAAAUACAAAUAAAAUACACAAGCUUGUUUGUACUAAACAUGUCUGUCUUCUUAUUUGUCGUCCCAUAAACUCCCAAAGUCAUUCAACAUUUAUUAUAUUGCGCUUUUCUUAUGCCCAGCUUUAUACAAACAGCUUAUAGGCUACUUAUCUGACCAACAUGGUGAAAAUAAGCAUAUUUAUAGAAAAAUAUUUUCUGCAACAUUAGGCAAAGUGAAACUUUGCAGGAACACAAAACUAGUGACAGUCACUUUGGGAAACCCAGCUCAGACCUGGACGACACCACGACACAUCUGUCACCUCACAAUCUGAACCCACAGUACAACAUCUGGAGGGAAAUCAUGAAAAUAAAUAAAAAGUUAAUAAACCAUUAGAAAAAAUAGGAGCUAUUACUUCAAAUCACAAAAUCUCAUUAAUUAAAUAUCAAUAGGAUGUUUGAUAUAUCAUUCUUCCAACGUCAGGUUCAUGUAGGAAACAAAAAACAACAACACGUGGGUACGCUUAUGUUGGAGGAACACAUUUAUGCUACCUGUAGGUGUUGACACGGUUCCCCGUUGCCUAGGAAACAGUGUUCAAGUUUUCCCGCACAAAAAGAUAAAUCAAGAGGCUUUUCAUUGUUAGAAAUAAGACUCAGUGAAGCAUGCCAAAUUCAACACCUUCCACUUUAUUUUUGAUGCUUUUACUGCCCACCCCCUUUGUUUGGUCAGAGUCUGAUUUUGUGGGCCCUCUUUUUUUAGGGAUCAAGGCUCAGAGUGUGCCUACAAUGUAACAGGGCCCUAAAUGUAGCCUGGACAUGCAGGUGUUGUAUGAACUACAUUUAUUUAUGAUACUGAGGUAAAGCUACACAGAGCAACUUUAUGUCUCAUCAGUGUGAUGCCUAAAAAUGACACACUGCAAAACCCAAAUCUUAGUGAGUGUUUUUGGCCUUGAAAGUGUUGUAUUAGGUUUGAGUUGAAGCUCCUGUGAGGUGUUCAUUUUUCUAUUUUUUUUAUUUUAGGAAAUAAACUGAAUUUCACAUCAUUUCAUGACAAAAGCAAACAAAAGUAUCAGCAGUGAGGUCAACAGUUCGUAUGUCGUCGUUUUCAGGCUUGUAAGUAGUGUGUGUGGGGGUCAGCCAAGUGCUACUUAAGCAUGUAGAAGAUGAGAUAGCACAGUUGUGUCCCCAGGGGACACCAAAACUGACACGAACUGAAAGUUCCUCAUGAGAACUUUAAGUUACAUUCACUUGACGAGUCUGGAAAUCGGCUUAUUGGACAACAUUACUUGCUAAAAAUAGGAUGUGAUUGUUCAUGAAAACCGUUUUGUUCCUGUUUUGUGUGGCUUGCAACAUGUGGCGAACACAAGACGCCACACUUUUAAAGACUCUUUUCACCAGCCAAAGGCCUAACUCUCAAAACUGGAAAUUUUGUUAAUUCUCUUGCAGUCAAACAUGAAUUAAGAGUAAACAAACAUGGCAGGCCACAGGAGCUAACCACUGCUAGCUGAACCUCCAACCUGUAACACUAACACAACACCUGUAUUCAUGUCAGUGUGUUUUACUAAACACUCGUGUUGUUCGCAUUGACGUCCAUGUAUUACUACUGUUGCCAUGGCUGCAUUUGUUCUGCUUCCUGAUUGGCUAUCAUUUUGUUCCAUGUGCCAGUAGACAGAGUUCAUGCUCCACCAUUCUUGGGGUUCCCCUGACACUGAAAAAUUUCCAAUCGUAAAUAUUCACAAUGUUCAAUAUUUAUGAUUUCAAGUUGUGGCAGCUUUGUCUUCAUGUGAGGAUACUCUGGAAAGAUCAUCUUUGGCUUUUGUCAGCAGGGAGGAAUUGUUCCCUGAAUCAGCACAAUAAUCUUGUAGUUUAUACCCCGUUUGUGUCACUUUCCACUGAAAGACAAAAAAAAAAAAAAAAAAAAAAAAAACACUAAGUAAGAUCUGGGAUUUUUGCAGUGCAUUGCUCAAAAGUACAUGGUAGUGUAAUUUGUGAUAUUUUGGGGGUUUUAUUGCUUGUAAAAUUGCCCUGGUCCUCAGGUUAUGCAAAUCAUUCAGACUCGUUUUUAGAAUUAAACGUCAUGCUGGUUAAAACAAUAUUCAUGCACUCCUCAUACAUUUUGGCUUUCAGUUUGUGGGGUAGAAAUAUACUCUUCAUCAACGGCUUAUUUGCUGCUUUAAAACAGUACACCAUGCGAUGAGCUGCUACCUGGAAUGAAGCAUCCUGCUCUUUUGAUGUGUGUGUUCAGACCUGCUGUCAGAGGUGGUGGAGGGGUUUCAGUCCAAUGAGUGAACAACCUGACACGUACGUCACAUCAGGAGCCAGAAAACCAGACCGAGGAGGCAUGUUUUCCAGAUUUAUGAAGCACCUCCUCUUAAAAACACUGUGACAACAACAGGGUCAGAGAAGGGGUGAGAGAGAAAAGUUGUGAAGGAGAGAGAGCUAACUCUGGCAAUGUCCCAGAAUUCCUUGGGCACCACAGCGGGGCAUGUAAAUUGCAUCGAAAUGCUUGAGAACAAGAACGUUGACUGUACAUCCUCCAGACAGCUUUCAAAAUAAUAGAUGGUGAGGGUGUCAAGAGUAUGCAAAUCACAUACACACACACACACGCAAAAUAAGGACCCUGCUCACAUACAAUCACCUCCAGUCAUGACUGCACAAGUUCACGUAUAACCAGUUUGAGUAAGCUUUUAAAAGCUGCUUUUUACUCAGCUUCCUAACUGUUCAUUGUAAUUCACGGUAAUGUCUUUUUAUGGUAAACAAUAACAAACAGGACCAUCAGGAGCAGUGCUGAUCUUUCUGAUACUAUUAUUU